UUGAAACUUCACUUCUCCUUUAGUGUACCUCACUCAUAUUUGGCACAUGUAGAUUCCUUUAAGAUUCUAGGAAAGAUAAUGGAUUAUACUGUUUGAUGUAGAAAGCAUAAUAUUAUUGAAUAUUUCUAUUUAUUUUCCUUAAACUUUUUUGUUCCCGAGUUGCAUUGAGAGAUGAAGUGCCGGCAAGAAUAGUAAAUCCUUCAUCUACAAGGUCCAAUAAAU
This 222-nucleotide long non-coding RNA is filed under the name Trifolium pratense (red clover). Its description in RNAcentral is "long non-coding RNA (TPRA_LNC004682)". The record is from RNAcentral. Lineage: Eukaryota; Viridiplantae; Streptophyta; Magnoliopsida; Fabales; Fabaceae.